This 466-nucleotide ribosomal RNA is filed under the name Salmonella enterica. RNAcentral's name for it is "bacterial SSU rRNA". It matches the Rfam family "Bacterial small subunit ribosomal RNA", at positions 229 to 687 of the family's 1533-position model. The record is from RNAcentral. Lineage: Bacteria; Pseudomonadati; Pseudomonadota; Gammaproteobacteria; Enterobacterales; Enterobacteriaceae.
GCCCAGAUGGGAUUAGCUUGUUGGUGAGGUAACGGCUCACCAAGGCGACGAUCCCUAGCUGGUCUGAGAGGAUGACCAGCCACACUGGAACUGAGACACGGUCCAGACUCCUACGGGAGGCAGCAGUGGGGAAUAUUGCACAAUGGGCGCAAGCCUGAUGCAGCCAUGCCGCGUGUAUGAAGAAGGCCUUCGGGUUGUAAAGUACUUUCAGCGGGGAGGAAGGUGUUGUGGUUAAUAACCGCAGCAAUUGACGUUACCCGCAGAAGAAGCACCGGCUAACUCCGUGCCAGCAGCCGCGGUAAUACGGAGGGUGCAAGCGUUAAUCGGAAUUACUGGGCGUAAAGCGCACGCAGGCGGUCUGUCAAGUCGGAUGUGAAAUCCCCGGGCUCAACCUGGGAACUGCAUUCGAAACUGGCAGGCUUGAGUCUUGUAGAGGGGGGUAGAAUUCCAGGUGUAGCGGUGAAAU